RNAcentral lists this ribosomal RNA (490 nucleotides) under uncultured bacterium. RNAcentral's name for it is "partial 16S ribosomal RNA". It matches the Rfam family "Bacterial small subunit ribosomal RNA", at positions 30 to 507 of the family's 1533-position model. The record is from RNAcentral.
AUUGAACGCUGGCGGCAGGCCUAACACAUGCAAGUCGAACGGUAACAGGAAGAAGCUUGCUUCUUUGCUGACGAGUGGCGGACGGGUGAGUAAUGUCUGGGAAACUGCCUGAUGGAGGGGGAUAACUACUGGAAACGGUAGCUAAUACCGCAUAACGUCGCAAGCCCAAAGAGGGGGACCUUCGGGCCUCUUGCCAUCGGCUGUGCCCAGAUGGGAUUAGCUAGUAGGUGGGGUAACGGCUCACCUAGGCGACGAUCCCUAGCUGGUCUGAGAGGAUGACCAGCCACACUGGAACUGAGACACGGUCCAGACUCCUACGGGAGGCAGCAGUGGGGAAUAUUGCACAAUGGGCGCAAGCCUGAUGCAGCCAUGCCGCGUGUAUGAAGAAGGCCUUCGGGUUGUAAAGUACUUUCAGUGGGGAGGAAGGGAGUAAAGUUAAUACCUUUGCUCAUUGACGUUACCCGCAGAAGAAGCACCGGCUAACUCCGUG